UUGGGGGAUUUUAACAAAAUUUUAUAUCCUUCGAAAAAAGAGGGCGGUAUGGCAAGACCACUUGGUAUGAUGAGAGAUUUCCGUGAAUGCCUAAUGGAUUGUGGGCUCGACGACUUAGGCUAUACCGGUGACCUUUUCACUUGGAGGAGAGGCAAAAUACGUGUGCGUCUUGAUCGGGCGGUCUGUAAUUUAGCGUGGGCAAAUAAAUUCCCACGAGCUGCAGUGAUCAACGAAGUACAUGUUCACUCUGACCACCGCCCAAUUGUACUGGACAUGGAUUAUUUGGAUGAAAAGAUCUUUAAACGACAGAGGAGCGUGUUAAACAAUUUGAGGUGA
This 336-nucleotide ribosomal RNA is filed under the name Triticum aestivum (bread wheat). RNAcentral's name for it is "partial small subunit ribosomal RNA". The record is from RNAcentral. Lineage: Eukaryota; Viridiplantae; Streptophyta; Magnoliopsida; Poales; Poaceae.